RNAcentral lists this ribosomal RNA (82 nucleotides) under Pseudomonas syringae pv. actinidiae. RNAcentral's name for it is "partial 16S ribosomal RNA". The stretch from base 10 to 82 matches the Rfam family "Bacterial small subunit ribosomal RNA", at positions 1 to 73 of the family's 1533-position model. The record is from RNAcentral. Lineage: Bacteria; Pseudomonadati; Pseudomonadota; Gammaproteobacteria; Pseudomonadales; Pseudomonadaceae.
UAGAUGUUUGAACUGAAGAGUUUGAUCAUGGCUCAGAUUGAACGCUGGCGGCAGGCCUAACACAUGCAAGUCGAGCGGCAGC